This 469-nucleotide ribosomal RNA is filed under the name uncultured bacterium. RNAcentral's name for it is "partial 16S ribosomal RNA". It matches the Rfam family "Bacterial small subunit ribosomal RNA", at positions 28 to 507 of the family's 1533-position model. The record is from RNAcentral.
GACGAACGCUGGCGGCGUGCUUAACACAUGCAAGUCGAACGAUGAAGCCUUAGCUUGCUUUGGUGGAUUAGUGGCGAACGGGUGAGUAACACGUGAGCAACGUGCCCAGGACUCUGGAAUAACCGCGGGAAACCGUGGCUAAUACCGGAUAGGUGCCGAGGCCGCAUGGUCUUCGGUUGGAAAGUUUUUGCGGUUCUGGAUCGGCUCACGGCCUAUCAGCUUGUUGGUGGGGUAAUGGCCUACCAAGGCGACGACGAGUAGCCGGCCUGAGAGGGUGACCGGCCACACUGGGACUGAGACACGGCCCAGACUCCUACGGGAGGCAGCAGUGGGGAAUAUUGCACAAUGGGCGCAAGCCUGAUGCAGCAACGCCGCGUGGGGGAUGACGGCCUUCGGGUUGUAAACCUCUUUUAGUAGGGAAGAAGCGCAAGUGACGGUACCUGCAGAAAAAGCACCGGCUAACUACGUG